AUAACCUUAUGACUCUGUUCAUUUUAUGAGUAUAUCCUUCUGCCAUGCUUCACAUAUUUACUGCUGCUUGGCUAGCUUUAAUCAUGCCAGCAUGAGCACAGGCAGAAAAAGGUACCAAUCAGAGAUAUCACAUGUAGCUUGUGUUUAUGUUCAGAGUGACAUCUGAUUUAAAAGCAGGGAGAAAAGGACACUGAGAUGUUCAGAUGUUUUCUGACUCUAUUUUUUUUUCUUUUGUCAUUACUCAAAAGAGCUACUUUUCAACUUUCAAACUUCUGUGUGAAUAUCAGCUUAUUCAACAUUUUUAACUUAACAUUCAGCAAUCAUUUUUGAGGCAACAAUUUUGCAUAGUUUUUUUUUUUUUUUAAGUUCUACGAACUAAUUAGAUUUUACAAUGCAACAGCUACAGUUGCCCUGGGGAAAUCAAGCAAAGGAAACAGGGUCUAGCUGGGUCUGGACUGAUUGGUCUAGUGUUUUGUAGAAACGUACUCCAUUUCUUUCAUCACAGCUGUCCUGUGCCAGAUGAGGCAGACAUUAUGUCAGAAACAUCAGGAACCCUGAAGUUCAUUCCAGUAAUCAAAUAGGACCCAGCAGCUCCCUCAGAGGGAAGAAUUGUUUUUAUUUAUUUUUGUUUUCUUUUUUUGUUCUGAGACAUGUGAAGCUAGAGACACCAGUAACCAUAGUCAGUUGUCUUCCAGGAGCCAGAGCAGGUGACAGUGAGGGAAAUUUAAAACUGCUGGCUGAGGGUAAAUGUAAAUUCAGUAAAAUGAAAAAGGCAGUAAUGACACCCGGUUACGUCAAUCAGAGGUCAUGAAAAUCAAUAUUGAAUUGGUGUGUAACUUUACCAGAACAAUAUCGGGCUCUGUAGUUUUCUCUGGUCCCCUCCCCAAUUGGACCAGGAGUCACAUGUUUAGCCACAUGUUCUCCUUAUAUUUCUGUCUGUCUGAGUGGAGUCCAAAUUCAAAUUCAAAUUCAAAUUCAAAUUCAAAUUUUAUUUGUCACGUACACAGUCAUACACAGUACGAUAUGUAGUGAAAUGCUUGGACAACUGCUCGUGACCUAAAGAAAACAAAAAAAGGAAAAGGCUAUGAAUAAGAUAGGAAAUAAA
Astatotilapia calliptera (eastern happy) is the source of this 1105-nucleotide long non-coding RNA. NCBI's taxonomy places the organism in Eukaryota, Metazoa, Chordata, Actinopteri, Cichliformes, Cichlidae. The record is from Ensembl.